This 874-nucleotide long non-coding RNA is filed under the name Mytilus galloprovincialis (Mediterranean mussel). The record is from RNAcentral. Lineage: Eukaryota; Metazoa; Mollusca; Bivalvia; Mytilida; Mytilidae.
CAAUAUAAACAUACAUUAUACAAUAUGAAUUCAAUAACUUGUACCAGUACUAGAGAAAUAAUCUCAUGUCAACCUUUUGCAUUUGAAUAACUAUAUGUAUACCCUAUAUGCUCAUAUCUAUUUAUUAUAAGGCAUGAAUGAAUACAAUAUAUAGUGUUGCCAAUAGCCCAGCAAGCAUAGCGGACAACAGAAUUUAUUAAAUAAUUACAUACAUGUGUCUUAAUUUAUAUAUAUAUAUAUAUUUAUAUAAACGUAUGAAAAAAGCAAUAACCACAAUUACUACUAAUAACAAAAACCUUGAAAUAUACUAUUAGGUACAACUUAGCUAGAAAAAGUAAACCUUGUACGAACAAGAGAUAUAAUAUGGUUGACAUGAAUGUAAACUGAAUAACUGAACAAAUGAAUAACUCGAUCAUGAACGACCUCGCCGGCCAGGAACAACCAAACAAACCCAAUAAUGGGAAACUGGAAACCUGGGUCCGACCCAAGGUCUGGAAACAGUCAUAUAUGCUCCGACCCAAUGCGACAAGUCGUCUCACGAGACAUACUCGGACGUGUAUUAUUUUGAAAAAUAUAUAAAUGCAUGUAUCAAAGUAUAUUCAUAAUAUGAAUGGAACUUGAAUGUUGCCCUGUCUGCAGCGGGCUAGAAAGUGAUAAUCUUGGGGAAAAAAUUUCCCGUUAUAAUGUUAGUCAUGUGUCUUAUACCUACUGACGUGAACUUAAAAAUACUAUGCUAGUACUAUAUACAAUAAUUUCUCCCUUUACUACAAAAUGUGAGAAAUUAUACAUAUUUCAGUAUGUUCUGUGGCGGACCAGGAAACCCUAUUUUAGGAAACCUGUGUCCUUUUGCCAAUGCUAGUGAAACUCUAUUGUU